GUAACGGCGAGUGAACCGGGAUGAGCUCAAAUUUAAAAUCUGGCGUCUUUCAGGCGUCCGAGUUGUAAUCUAUAGAGGCGUUUUCCGCGCCGGACCGCGUCCAAGUCUCUUGGAAUAGAGUAUCAAAGAGGGUGACAAUCCCGUACUUGACGCGACAACCGGUGCUCUGUGAUACGUUCUCAAUGAGUCGAGUUGUUUGGGAAUGCAGCUCUAAAUGGGUGGUAAAUUCCAUCUAAGGCUAAAUAUUGGCGAGAGACCGAUAGCGAACAAGUACCGUGAGGGAAAGAUGAAAAGCACUUUGGAAAGAGAGUUAAACAGCACGUGAAAUUGUUAAAAGGGAAACGAUUGAAGUCAGUCGUGUGAAAGGUAUUCAGCCGUCUCUGGCGGUGUAUUUGCCUUUCACGGGUCAACAUCAGUUUGAUCCGGUAGAAAAAGGCGGGAGGAAGGUGGCACCCUCGGGUGUGUUAUAGCCUCCUGUCAUAUGUGCCGGACCAGACUGAGGAACGCAGCUUGCCGCAAGGCCGGGGUUCGCCCACGUACAAGCUUAGGA
RNAcentral lists this ribosomal RNA (550 nucleotides) under Vishniacozyma victoriae. Its description in RNAcentral is "partial large subunit ribosomal RNA". It matches the Rfam family "Eukaryotic large subunit ribosomal RNA", at positions 83 to 618 of the family's 3401-position model. The record is from RNAcentral. Lineage: Eukaryota; Fungi; Basidiomycota; Tremellomycetes; Tremellales; Bulleribasidiaceae.